This 468-nucleotide ribosomal RNA is filed under the name uncultured bacterium. RNAcentral describes it as "partial 16S ribosomal RNA". It matches the Rfam family "Bacterial small subunit ribosomal RNA", at positions 28 to 507 of the family's 1533-position model. The record is from RNAcentral.
GACGAACGCUGGCGGCGUGCUUAACACAAGCAAGUCGAACGGAAAGGCCCUGCUUUUGUGGGGUGUUCGAGUGGCGAACGGGUGAGUAACACGUGAGUAACCUGCCCUUGACUUUGGGAUAACUUCAGGAAACUGGGGCUAAUACCGGAUAGGAGCUCCUGCUGCAUGGUGGGGGUUGGAAAGUUUCGGCGGUUGGGGAUGGACUCGCGGCUUAUCAGCUUGUUGGUGGGGUAGUGGCUUACCAAGGCUUUGACGGGUAGCCGGCCUGAGAGGGUGACCGGCCACAUUGUGACUGAGGUACGGCCCAGACUCCUACGGGAGGCAGCAGUGGGGAAUAUUGCACAAUGGGCGGAAGCCUGAUGCAGCAACGCCGCGUGCGGGAUGACGGCCUUCGGGUUGUAAACCGCUUUCGCCUGUGACGAAGCGUGAGUGACGGUAAUGGGUAAAGAAGCACCGGCUAGCUACGUG